UAAUACGGAGGGUGCAAGCGUUAUCCGGAUUUACUGGGUUUAAAGGGUGCGUAGGCGGGACUUUAAGUCAGCGGUGAAAGCUCCAAGCUUAACUUGGAAAUUGCCGUUGAUACUAUUGUUCUUGAAUUCGGUUGAGGUUGGCGGAAUGUGUCGUGUAGCGGUGAAAUGCUUAGAUAUGACACAGAACACCGAUUGCGAAGGCAGCUAGCUAAACCGAUAUUGACGCUGAGGCACGAAAGUGUGGGGAUCAAACAGGAUUAGAAACCCUGGUAGUCCACACCCUAAACGAUGAUUACUCGAUGUUGGCGAUACACAGCCAGCGUCUAAGCAAAAGCAUUAAGUAAUCCACCUGGGGAGUACGACCGCAAGGUUG
This 373-nucleotide ribosomal RNA is filed under the name uncultured bacterium. RNAcentral's name for it is "bacterial SSU rRNA". It matches the Rfam family "Bacterial small subunit ribosomal RNA", at positions 521 to 896 of the family's 1533-position model. The record is from RNAcentral.